This 179-nucleotide non-coding RNA is filed under the name Porphyromonadaceae bacterium. Its description in RNAcentral is "6S RNA". It matches the Rfam family "6S / SsrS RNA". Rfam says of the family: E. coli 6S RNA was the first non coding RNA to be sequenced, but its function was unknown until recently. It consists of 184 nucleotides that fold into an extended hairpin structure with a large single-stranded internal bulge. Lineage: Bacteria; Pseudomonadati; Bacteroidota; Bacteroidia; Bacteroidales; Porphyromonadaceae. The record is from RNAcentral.
UCAUUCCUGAGGUGUUCGACACUCCUGUAAUUUUGAACCUACAUGAUGUAAUAAGGGAUUCCUAAUCUGUGAGUGGAUGCCAGGCCGUCGUUUGCAGCGGAAGGCAGAAAUUCACAUGCGGUUACCCACCUAGCCUGGCUAGGAGUCAAAAUAACAGGAGCCGGCAUUUUGGGUGAUUA